This is a long non-coding RNA of Oryza brachyantha (malo sina), 3053 nucleotides long. RefSeq lists it as uncharacterized. The transcript is spliced from 10 exons. The record is from RefSeq and is a predicted model, not a curated record. Lineage: Eukaryota; Viridiplantae; Streptophyta; Magnoliopsida; Poales; Poaceae.
GUCCCCCAAAACCCUAGCCCCCCUCCACUUCCUCGACGGCCUCCUGCGGCGGCGAACGGCACGCACGACGGGCCCCCGCCCAGCGGCCGGCGAGAGCGGCGCCGUCUCGCUGUGCUGUCGCCAGCGCCCGCGCCGAUAGAGGCGGAUGGUGCGGGUGGCGGCGGCGGCGGCGGCGGCCCUACCGACGGUGCCGACCAACUGCUGCGGCAGCCGGCGGCCGGCCCGACCGCCUGGGGCAGCGAGGGCGGUCGCGGCAAUCGUUGGCCCGGUCGGAUCUGCACCGUCCCUGGCCGGAUCCCUCGCCGCUUCGGCCGGGUUCGUUCAGCCAGCCGUCUCUGCGGGCUGGUGUAAUCGCCGUCGUUUGCCUCUUCGUCCUUCUCUCUCCCACCCACCUUCUCGGCUUCUCCUCCCACACAUCCGACACACACUCUCGCGGCGGCGGAAGCCGACCAACCGAGCAGGAGCAGCCGCCGGCGACGAUGGGCGACAGCCAGUACUUCUCCCUCACCACCUUCAGAGGUUUUAUAUUUUUCGAACUAAAACUGCCAAAACACAUUGGAGAUUACUGAAGAUUGAUAGAUUGGAGCCAUCAGACCUUGACUUGCAUGAGUGUCCUUCCGUGUAUACACAGUGAAUAUUGUGGACUGUUCAAAAAACUUGAUGAAGAGCACAAGUUGACUGGUUGCAGUUAAAAAGAUGAAGGGAAAGUUUUUCCAAUGGGAAGAGUGCAUUAGUCUGCGAGAAGUGAAGGCAGUUCAAAAAUUAAAUCAUCCCAAUAUUGUGAAGUUCAAGGAGCUAGGUGACGAUGGAAAAUCACGAGUUCUUCUUCAUCUUUGAAAACAUGGAAUUUAACUUGUAUGAUGUCGUAAGAGAAAGGCAAACAGCUUUCUUAGAAGAGGAUAUUCGGAAUUUUAUGGUGCAGAUACUGCAAGGUCUUGUAUAUAUGCAUAACAAUGGUUAUUCCACCUCAAACCUGCAAUUUGACCGGAUUAUUGUCAAAUGAAGGUAUCGAGCUCCACAUGUGCUUCUGCAGUCGUCAGCUUAGACACCUGAUAUGUGGGCUGUUGGUGCGAUUUUUGCUGAGCUUUUUACUCUGUCUACACUUUUCCCUGGUCAAAGGUUCCCUCUAGCAGCUUUAGCAGAUAAGCUUCAUAUAUUUGUGACUACGAUUCAAUAUAAUUAUACUUACCUUUUCUUUUUCUGAUCAAGACCAGCUGUUGGGUGAUGACUGAUGACACUCUGGUGUAUGAUGGUGAUUAUUACAUCUCUCCGGUUAAACUUUGUCGGCAUUGAUAGGUACAAAUAUGAACGACUGGACAAGAAGGAUUGGAAAUGACAGGCAUCUCCUGCCACCAGCUCAGGAAGAAGGUGUUUUUUUUUUCCUUUUUUGCUUCCCUUGAUUUUGGGUGGGGUUUUCUAAUUUCAUCCAGGGUCUUCACUUCAGUUCCUCCUUUGCUUUAGGACCAAACCCUUUGAGGCUUUUAUCUUUCUUGCUUCAGUUUGUGCCAGCAUUCGCUGCGGCCUUGGUUAAGGUUCAUCGUUUUCUUAUCCUUAAAAAAACAUUUUAAAAAUCGCGGUUCUUGGUGACAGCCGCGUGAAGGGAGUAAAGGGUGGUAAACUCCUCUGGUUGUUUUAAUGAGAGACGUUCUGGAUUUGUCGGCCGUCUGAUCUACAAACUUUAGUAUCUUGUUUACAUCUUAUUCUGUUUCUGAUCUCUCAUCCGAGUACUGUACCGGUUUGUACACAAACCUAAACUGUUCUUUACGCCACAUGAGUUCUUACAUAGUAAUGUUUUCUUCUUUCUCCACUGAAGUUUGCUAGAUUGUGUUUCUAUUGAUGGACAUGUUUGGUACAUGUUAUUUCCCUUCUCAUUUCUAGAAACAUUUCUGCUUUCCUAACAUAUCUAUGUAUGUAAUUUACCAUCCAUGUCCGUCUGAUGCGCAAUUAGUUUUUUUCUCUUUUUUCCCACUGUUCAAGUAUUUCUUAUUUCGCUUGUGAAUUAAUUCGUCCAUUUCUUUCCUCCUACUAAAAAAGAUGAGUGCCGAUAAAUCUGGGGGUACAGUAAUGAGUGAUACUAUUAGGUAAAGGAUCACUUCGGAUUGGUAGUUUGGUACUGCACAGUACACAAAACAAGGGGGUAUUUUGAUUCUUUGCCUUGUGAUCCAUUAUUGAUUAAGGAAUAUGAUGUUGGACAUGUACAUGGGUCAUUUUCCUUCCCUCGUUUUAGGGUAACAUCUGGGUAGUUCAGUUCAUGAAGGACCAGCUAGCUUUUAAAAUGUAAUCCUUCAUGUUUGUUUAUCUACCAAGUCCAAAAUUGACGCUUUUGAGGUUAUAUGCUUAAAUUAUAAUUAUAUAACUACUCAUGAUACCAUCUAUAUGGUUUAUGCCUUGUUGCUCUCAAGCAGGAUGCUAAACAAAAGCGGAUGUUAAUUUGAUGUGCAUAUACAUCUGAAUACCUCUGUUUAAUUCCUACUGGUUAGUUUGUACUGAUUGGAACUUAGUCGCAGGAUGCAUUGAUUGUGAAGCCUUCAGAGAAAUCACCUCUCGCGUUGAGAAUGGUUGUUUUUGGUACGACUAUGAUCUACGUGAUAUUUAUUUGCACAACGUGUAUGAAACAACUAGGAAGUGGUAUCUGCUCUAGAAUAGUGAAGAUCGAAGUUGCGGAGCAGUCAUGAAAUAAGUCUGCAAUCACGCCUUCUGAGGUUCAUUUUGUACAUUACCCACAACCAAUACUUAUAGCAGGUCACAGUUGUGCUGAAGCAGUUUACAUUAUACUAUAUACUUCGAUUGUGUGAUCUCUGAUAUGAAUUUUAUUUUUUACGAGUGGAUGCAUGUGUACCCACUUCGGAAUUAUGUCGUCACAACGUUCUGGAAGUGCCUGGUUUGAAACUCUUCUUAAUAGCAACAUGAAUGUUUGUUCCAGCGGUGAACGCUAUUCACAGGCAAGGUGACUAUAACUAUUUUAUGCACAUCAAUACGACGAGAAAGUACAAGCAACCCAGAGAUUUGAUAACCCAUACCUUCGUCCCUGAUGAUGUCAGGAUCAGCCGUUA